Molecule: transfer RNA, 71 nt
Filed under: Loxodonta africana (African savanna elephant)
Lineage: Eukaryota; Metazoa; Chordata; Mammalia; Proboscidea; Elephantidae
Rfam family: tRNA
About the family: Transfer RNA (tRNA) molecules are approximately 80 nucleotides in length. Their secondary structure includes four short double-helical elements and three loops (D, anti-codon, and T loops). Further hydrogen bonds mediate the characteristic L-shaped molecular structure. tRNAs have two regions of fundamental functional importance: the anti-codon, which is responsible for specific mRNA codon recognition, and the 3' end, to which the tRNAs corresponding amino acid is attached (by aminoacyl-tRNA synthetases). tRNAs cope with the degeneracy of the genetic code in two manners: having more than one tRNA (with a specific anti-codon) for a particular amino acid; and 'wobble' base-pairing, i.e. permitting non-standard base-pairing at the 3rd anti-codon position.
Source: Rfam by way of RNAcentral
GCAUUGGUGGUUCAGUGGUAGAAUUCUCACCUUCCAUGAGGGAGGCCCAGGUUCAAUUCCUGUCUAAUGCA